Molecule: ribosomal RNA, 466 nt
Filed under: Austrolebias bellottii
Lineage: Eukaryota; Metazoa; Chordata; Actinopteri; Cyprinodontiformes; Rivulidae
Description: partial 12S ribosomal RNA
Rfam family: Bacterial small subunit ribosomal RNA
Source: RNAcentral
GAAAACUACAAGCGUAAGCUCAAAACUCAAAGGGUCUGGCGGCACUUUAAACUAUCUAGAGGAGCCUGUCCUAUAAUCGAUAACCCCCGUUAAACCUCACCUUCUUUGGCUUUAUCAGCCUGUAUACCGCCGUCGUCAGCUUACCCCCUAAAGGUUUCACAAGUAAGCAAAACUGGCUUUGCCCAAAACGUCAGGUCGAGGUGCAGCUUACAAGAAGGGAAGAGAUGGGCUACAUUUCCUAUUUAGGAAAUACGAAUAGUACACUGAAAUGUGUACAUUGAAGGAGGAUUUAGAAGUAAGUAAAAAAUAGAGUGUUUUACUGAAAAAGGUCUUAAAGUGCGUACACACCGCCCGUCGUUCUCUCUUUAUUUUCUUUAUUUACUUAUUAUAUAAUACUAGCACUUUGUAUAAAUGAGGGAGGCAAGUCGUAACAAGGUAAGCGUACUGGAAAGUGUGCUUGGUUAAU